UGGCGGCGUGCCUAAUACAUGCAAGUCGAACGAAGCUUUCUUUCACCGAAUGCUUGCAUUCACCGAAAGAAGCUUAGUGGCGAACAGGUGAGUAACACGUAGGUAACCUGCCCGAAAGAGGGGGAUAACACUUGGAAACAGGUGCUAAUACCGCAUAACCAUGAACACCGCAUGAUGUUCAUGUAAAAGACGGCUUUUGCUGUCACUUUUGGAUGGGCCUGCGGCGUAUUAACUUGUUGGUGGGGUAACGGCCUACCAAGGUGAUGAUACGUAGCCGAACUGAGAGGUUGAUCGGCCACAUUGGGACUGAGACACGGCCCAAACUCCUACGGGAGGCAGCAGUAGGGAAUCUUCCACAAUGGACGAAAGUCUGAUGGAGCAACGCCGCGUGAAUGAAGAAGGCCUUCGGGUCGUAAAAUUCUGUUGUCAGAGAAGAACGUGCGUGAGAGUAACUGUUCACGUAUUGACGGUAUCUGACCAGAAAGCCACGGCUAACUACGUGCCAGCAGCCGCGGUAAUACGUAGGUGGCAAGCGUUGUCCGGAUUUAUUGGGCGUAAAGGGAACGCAGGCGGUCUUUUAAGUCUGAUGUGAAAGCCUUCGGCUUAACCGAAGUAGUGCAUUGGAAACUGGAAGACUUGAGUGCAGAAGAGGAGAGUGGAACUCCAUGUGUAGCGGUGAAAUGCGUAGAUAUAUGGAAGAACACCAGUGGCGAAAGCGGCUCUCUGGUCUGUAACUGACGCUGAGGUUCGAAAGCGUGGGUAGCAAACAGGAUUAGAUACCCUGGUAGUCCACGCCGUAAACGAUGAGUGCUAAGUGUUGGAGGGUUUCCACCCUUCAGUGCUGCAGCUAACGCAUUAAGCACUCCGCCUGGGGAGUAC
RNAcentral lists this ribosomal RNA (879 nucleotides) under uncultured bacterium. Its description in RNAcentral is "bacterial SSU rRNA". It matches the Rfam family "Bacterial small subunit ribosomal RNA", at positions 37 to 883 of the family's 1533-position model. The record is from RNAcentral.